AGGCUGGUGGGGGCGGUGUUGCUCGGGGCUGCGAUGCCCCUUAGGUUGCGGGCAACCAGAGGCCUCACUCGUGGGCAGGAAGCAAGGGCGGACCCCGAGAGAUGACUGAUUGUGGGGGUGGGGACCGUCUGCUCCUCCUAAUGGCUGGGGACCGUGCACGUCUGCGCGGGCCGGACCUGCUCUUCUCGGGAACUUGCGCGGGAGGAGGCCCGGAGCUGCGCCGCUUUACCCUCUGCUCCCCGGUGCCUAAAACGCACACGCAUCAAAGUCACAGGACGAGUUAGAGGAAUAUACAAUAGAGUUUUCCAGAGGCUGCUGGAUGAGUCAUAUUGUAACAGAUGCAAUGGGAACAUGGAGCUAUGGGAACUCAACUGCCUUAAGUGAAGCCAGACAUUAAGGAGAUUUGAAAAAAUAUAAUACAAUGCCACUCUUCUCCCUA
Long non-coding RNA from Homo sapiens (human), 439 nucleotides. Ensembl annotates it as ZNF8 divergent transcript. Its record names the gene ZNF8-DT. Lineage: Eukaryota; Metazoa; Chordata; Mammalia; Primates; Hominidae. The record is from Ensembl.